RNAcentral lists this ribosomal RNA (257 nucleotides) under uncultured bacterium. Its description in RNAcentral is "partial 16S ribosomal RNA". It matches the Rfam family "Bacterial small subunit ribosomal RNA", at positions 96 to 354 of the family's 1533-position model. The record is from RNAcentral.
UGGCGGACGGUGAGUAACGCGUGGGCGACCUGCCUUACACAGGGGGACAACAGCCGGAAACGGCUGCUAAUACCGCAUAAGCGCACAGUUUCGCAUGGAACAGUGUGAAAAACUCCGGUGGUGUAAGAUGGGCCCGCGUCUGAUUAGCUUGUUGGCGGGGUAACGGCCCACCAAGGCGACGAUCAGUAGCCGACCUAAGAGGGUGACCGGCCACAUUGGGACUGAGACACGGCCCAAACUCCUACGGAAGGCAGCAG